Molecule: ribosomal RNA, 695 nt
Filed under: uncultured Enterobacter sp.
Lineage: Bacteria; Pseudomonadati; Pseudomonadota; Gammaproteobacteria; Enterobacterales; Enterobacteriaceae
Description: bacterial SSU rRNA
Rfam family: Bacterial small subunit ribosomal RNA
Source: RNAcentral
GGAGGUUGUGCCCUUGAGGCGUGGCUUCCGGAGCUAACGCGUUAAGUCGACCGCCUGGGGAGUACGGCCGCAAGGUUAAAACUCAAAUGAAUUGACGGGGGCCCGCACAAGCGGUGGAGCAUGUGGUUUAAUUCGAUGCAACGCGAAUAACCUUACCUACUCCUUGACAUCCAGGAGAACUUUCCAGAGAUGGAUUGGUGCCUUCGGGAACUCUGAGAACAGGUGCUGCUUGGCUGUCGUCAGCUCGUGUUGUGAAAUGUUGGGUUAAGUCCCGCAACGAGCGCAACCCUUAUCCUUUGUUGCCAGCGGUCCGGCCGGGAACUCAAAGGAGACUGCCAGUGAUAAACUGGAGGAAGGUGGGGAUGACGUCAAGUCAUCAUGGCCCUUACGAGUAGGGCUACACACGUGCUACAAUGGCGCAUACAAAGAGAAGCGACCUCGCGAGAGCAAGCGGACCUCAUAAAGUGCGUCGUAGUCCGGAUUGGAGUCUGCAACUCGACUCCAUGAAGUCGGAAUCGCUAGUAAUCGUAGAUCAGAAUGCUACGGUGAAUACGUUCCCGGGCCUUGUACACACCGCCCGUCACACCAUGGGAGUGGGUUGCAAAAGAAGUAGGUAGCUUAACCUUCGGGAGGGCGCUUACCACUUUGUGAUUCAUGACUGGGGUGAAGUCGUAACAAGGUAACCGUAGGGGAAC